UGCUUCUUCAAGGAGAAAUGUUAUCCUCUCCAUGCAGUGUUUCCUCUUUAUUAUUACAAGAGGAAAGCCUAAUAAAAGCGUAUCAUCUGGUCUUAUUGUCUGUUCUAAAACAAAUGUAGGAACAUUAUGGCCCAGACAGUCUAUAAAUCACGACAGAUGGACACUACAUAAAACCAUUAUCAGAGGUAAUAAAGACUGAAACAGCUAGGAGGGAUAUACCCAGGGGGUGAAUCCAGAUACUAGAAUUUAAAUUACAACUUUUAGUCUACAAUUUGGCUUGUGGCUUGUUUCGUUAUGUUUUCUAUAGGAAAAAGAUGAAUGAUACUAGAGCAUCAGCAAGCAUGUGAGCCACAAGAUUUUAAAUCUUUUGCUCUGUUCAGCAGUUUAAAUUCAGGCAACAGAAAAUAACUGAUGGAUGGAUGGAUUAAGAGAGGACAGGAUUCCAUCUGCUGGUGAUAGAAGGCAGUGUAGUGAAUACAGCCGGAGUAUGUUAACAUUCUUGACAUGACAAUCAUGUAGAGCUGAAACAAUUAGUCAAUUAAUCAAUAAGUCAAUUGACAGAACAUUAAUUGGCAACUGUUUUAUAAUUGAUUCAUUUUUAAUGCCAAAAUAUUUAGUUGACCCUCAUUGAUAUAAACAUAGUGGACAAAAUGUUAGAAACACUUCUCAGUAUGAUGGAAUACAGUUCAACAGCAGCACAAUUCACAUCCUCCAAAAUCAUCAUACAGUUGAAUCAAUACAUCUCUAAAAUCAGUUUCAACAUUUAUUGCAGGACUGUUUUAUUAGACUGGUUUUAUUUUAGCUAGGUGUACCUAAUAAACUGGAAACUGAGUUUACAGAUAGCAUGGAAGAAACCCAAAAGACCAAACGCUGCUUGUCUUAUCUCAUCAAUACUGCUAAAAGCUAUUCAGCCUGAUUAGUUUGGUCACUCAGAGGUAAAAUACCAUCCAUAGAAGAGUUGUGAAUGAUUAACAGAGGGCAUGGUUAGAGUUUAAUCAAACUAUCUAACAAUCUACUGGACUCUCCCUAGCACUCAAUCUAGAUCUAUAGUAAAUCAACAGGUUUGCUCAAUGUAUGAAUGUGCUUAGACAAAAGAUAAACAUUAAUAAGACACUUUAAUGCCACCAUGCACUACUGUAUGAUGUUACAUUAAGACAAAAAGUUAGCAGGUUUUUAAUAACCAUCUUUGGAGCAAGAUGACAAAAGGAGGUACAUGGCGAUUUCCUCUUCUCAUUGAACGCUGCCUGUGCGAGGUUGGCCGAAUCACCCAUCUUUUUGUCUACAAAUCAUCGUGGCAUUAAGAAUAAAAUACAAUGGCUUCAAUCUUAUUAGAUGGCUUUCGAUAUAAAUUUAUACUUAUUAUGGUGUGAUGCAAAGCAAAUUUUGGUAGGAUUUGUCAACACAAAUUGUUUUGUUUUGUUAGUAAAUAACUUGAAUAUCGAUGGAAACACACUAGAUUAAAAUUGUUAUCAUGUUAUAGUAAAGUGACUUUAUAUGAAUCUGUUCUGAAUCUACAACCAGAGAGACAUGUCAGACCAAUAUCACGUAUAUUGUUGCAGUAUCAUGGCCAUUAGCUGUUGAGUGAGAAUACUAAAGUACAUGUCUUUGUUUUGGUCUUUAGUCAGUAUGAUUCAUGGCCAACAUUAGCCGACACUCAAACAAUAACACAUCAGUUGUCCUUCAAUUAUGCUGAUGUAAAGCUGCAGAAACUAUAAAUGCUUCAACAUAGAAAUAAACCACAUUUCUAACAUUUGCAUGAAACUUGCUUAACAGUUGGAAACAUACAUUACCUAUGUGACACUGAGCCCAACUUGCCACUACACCCACUAUAUGCAGGCUGAGCUGCAGCGUCUCACUGAUGAUGCCUCUUCUCUGGACACUGCAAGGCUAACCUGUCCUUCACACCUUUAAAAUGUGUACAAUUGCAGGGCAGUGUGUGUGUGUAGACAGGAGAGAGGAUGGAAUUACAGCUGAGAGGCUAAGUCUUUGCAGAUGAC
Molecule: long non-coding RNA, 1997 nt
Organism: Siniperca chuatsi (mandarin fish)
Lineage: Eukaryota; Metazoa; Chordata; Actinopteri; Centrarchiformes; Sinipercidae
Exons: 3
Source: RefSeq, a predicted model, not a curated record